This 439-nucleotide ribosomal RNA is filed under the name uncultured bacterium. RNAcentral's name for it is "partial 16S ribosomal RNA". It matches the Rfam family "Bacterial small subunit ribosomal RNA", at positions 339 to 795 of the family's 1533-position model. The record is from RNAcentral.
CUACGGGGUGCUGCAGUGAGGAAUAUUGCACAAUGGGGGGAACCCUGAUGCAGCAACGCCGCGUGGAGGAUGACGCAUUUCGGUGUGUAAACUCCUUUUAUAUGUCAAGAAAAUGACGGUAGCAUAUGAAUAAGCACCGGCUAACUCCGUGCCAGCAGCCGCGGUAAUACGGAGGGUGCAAGCGUUACUCGGAAUCACUGGGCGUAAAGGACGCGUAGGCGGGUUGGAAAGUCAGGUGUGAAAUCCUACAGCUUAACUGUAGAACUGCACUUGAAACUUCUAAUCUAGAGUAUAGGAGGGGGAGAUGGAAUUAGUGGUGUAGGGGUAAAAUCCGUAGAUGUCACUAGGAAUACCUAAAGCGAAGGCGAUCUCCUGGAACAUUACUGACGCUAAGGCGUGAAAGCGUGGGGAGCAAACAGGAUUAGAUACCCGUGUAGUC